RNAcentral lists this ribosomal RNA (492 nucleotides) under uncultured bacterium. Its description in RNAcentral is "partial 16S ribosomal RNA". It matches the Rfam family "Bacterial small subunit ribosomal RNA", at positions 29 to 507 of the family's 1533-position model. The record is from RNAcentral.
AUUGAACGCUGGCGGCAUGCUUUACACAUGCAAGUCGAACGGUAACACGCCUUCGGGUGCUGACGAGUGGCGAACGGGGGAGUAAUGCAUCGGAACGUGCCCAGAGGUGGGGGAUAACGCAGCGAAAGCUGUGCUAAUACCGCAUGUGAUCUGAGGAUGAAAGCGGGGGACCAGGCAGCAAUGUUUGGCCUCGCGCCUUUGGAGCGGCCGAUGUCAGAUUAGGUAGUUGGUGGGGUAAAGGCCUACCAAGCCGACGAUCUGUAGCUGGUCUGAGAGGACGACCAGCCACACUGGGACUGAGACACGGCCCAGACUCCUACGGGAGGCAGCAGUGGGGAAUUUUGGACAAUGGGCGCAAGCCUGAUCCAGCAAUGCCGCGUGCGGGAAGAAGGCCUUCGGGUUGUAAACCGCUUUUGUACGGAACGAAAAGGCUCUGGCUAAUACCUGGGGCUGAUGACGGUACCGGAAGAAUAAGCACCGGCUAACUACGUG